GGCAGUGUGGUAUAAUAAUGUGAGCACUAGGCUCUGACUCUGGAGACCAGGGUUCAAAUCCCAGCUCAGCCA
Phrynosoma platyrhinos (Desert horned lizard) is the source of this 72-nucleotide non-coding RNA. NCBI's taxonomy places the organism in Eukaryota, Metazoa, Chordata, Lepidosauria, Squamata, Phrynosomatidae. The record is from the annotation of a GenBank genome assembly.